UUCAAGUUAUGUAAUUAUCAAAUGCGCGUUUGCCCAGACAAACCUUAUUGGGCCAAAUUGCGUUUGCAAAGCGUAACGUGGGGCGACCUAUGCUGCGUUUCAGGGAUUGCGCUAAACGUGACAUGGUUGCAUUUAACAUUGAUCGCAACUCUU
This is a long non-coding RNA of Melitaea cinxia (Glanville fritillary), 153 nucleotides long. RefSeq lists it as uncharacterized. The record is from RefSeq and is a predicted model, not a curated record. The transcript is spliced from 3 exons. NCBI's taxonomy places the organism in Eukaryota, Metazoa, Arthropoda, Insecta, Lepidoptera, Nymphalidae.